CCUGUAAGUGGGGAUAUUUUGGUCACGCACGUGGGUUGCGUCAAACCUUUGUUUACAGUGACCAUGUGACCAACUAUAGGCCAAUCAGAACGAGGCAAGUGACCUUCUUGGAUAAAUCAAAAAAUGGCGCACAUGGAGUCUACCGAGCCGGGUGAAAUGAAGAAAGCAGAGCUACUCGUGCCUAGUAGCGUGGAAGGUGACGAAAUAGGAGAAGAAAUGAAGAAAAGCGGCUCUCGGUUUCAAGUGGCCCGUGUGGACUGUGUUAAUGAAACUAAAUUUGAAGAAUCACCAAAGGAUACAAGAAGCAAUGUGCAUGAUAAGGGACCGGAAUCUCCUUCAGCCACCUUCUCUCUCAGUGGCGAUUCCUUUCGGAGUUAUUCAGAUACCAAUAAUUUGAAAACUUUUGCAAUGAAUACUCAUGAGGCUCUGCCAUGUGUUGACCAUUACAGGAACAUACUGUCGGCGACAGGAGGAAUGAAAUCGCGACCGACACUCGCCCAGCUACACGAGGAAAUGGAUGAUGAAGAAAUGCGAGGUAGACACAAAGAUCCCCUCCUGGCCGGGGAGGAGAGAUUGGUCAGUGACAGUAACGUGGCAAUCUCCACUGACAAGAAGCCACAACAAGGGGCUUUGAAAUUUGGCUGGAUCAAAGGUGUCCUGGUGCGAUGUCUGCUAAAUAUCUGGGGUGUCAUGCUGUUCAUCCGCCUGUCGUGGGUGGUUGGCCAGGCUGGCAUGGGCCUCACUGCAGUCAUCAUCCUCCUGUCCGGCGUUGUCACCACACUUACUGCUCUAUCCAUGUCAGCCAUUUGUACAAAUGGAGAAGUAAAGGGAGGUGGUGCAUAUUAUAUGAUAUCCCGUAGUUUGGGAGCUGAGUUUGGUGGUGCUAUUGGCCUCAUCUUUUCAGUAGCCAACGCUGUAGCUAUUGCAAUGUAUGUAGUAGGCUUUGCAGAAACUGUUCGAGAUUUAUUAAAGAACAAUAAUGCCUUGAUGAUAGAUGAAACCAAUGAUAUCCGAAUAAUUGGGUUCAUCACGAUAUCUCUGCUCCUAGCCAUUGCUAUUAUUGGUAUGGACUGGGAAGCUAGGGCCCAGCUGGUAUUGUUAGCUGUCUUGGUGAUUGGGCUGGUCAAUUUUGUUGUUGGUUGUCUCAUCCCUCCGACAGAAACCAAGAAAGUCAAGGGAUUUGUGGGAUUUAAAACUGAUCUCUUUAUUGAGAACAUGCUUCCUGCAUUUGGGGAGGGGCAGGAGUUUUUCUCAGUGUUUUCUGUAUUCUUCCCGGCGGCCACUGGAAUUUUGGCUGGAGCCAACAUCUCUGGGGAUCUUAAGGAUGCCCAGACAGCAAUCCCAAAAGGAACCCUACUGUCCAUCCUCAUUUCCACCAUUGUGUAUCUGGGCGUGGCCUGGACCCUGGGGGGCUGCAUGCUGCGCGAUGCUGUCGGACCCCUCAACGUGGCAGUGGGUGCAACCACUGUUGUACAGCUUUCAAACGUCACAACUACAACGCUGGCGUCGGUGGUGAUGUCGGCGGCAAUGUCAGCGGCACAGCAAGCCCCAAACACGUCAACAAGUACUGUGUAUACGGUGGAUGUGAUACGAAACUGCUCUCUCGGCGAGAAUGGCGUAUGUGCUUAUGGGCUGAUGCAUGAUUAUCAGGCCAUGGAGAUGAUGUCAGGCUUUGGUCCACUUAUCACAGCUGGAAUCUUCUCGGCCACACUUUCCUCGGCAUUAGCGAGUCUUGUUUCCGCCCCUAAAGUCUUCCAGGCUGUUUGCAAAGAUGAAAUCUUCCCUAAAAUAAAGUUUUUUGCAAAAGGCUAUGGGAUUGAUGAUAGCCCAAGACGUGCCUACCUGCUGGCUUAUUUUAUAGGUUUAGGAUUUGUUUUUAUUGGUGACCUGAAUGCCAUAGCCCCUGUGAUAUCCAAUUUCUUUCUUAUGUCUUACACACUGAUCAACUAUUCCUGCUUCGAUGCCUCACUUGCCCGCUCACCAGGUUGGCGCCCAGCAUUCCGUUUCUACAACAAGUGGUGCAGCUUGCUGGGAGCUAUCAUCUGCCUGGCAGUCAUGUUCAUCAUCAACUGGUGGACUGCACUCAUCACAUUUGGAGUCAUCAGUGCCUUGUUUAUAUAUGUACACCACACAAAGCCAGAGGUGAACUGGGGGUCAUCGACACAAGCACAUGUGUACCGAAAUGCUCUGCAGUCUUCCCUUAAACUCAUAUCAGUUGAAGACCAUAUCAAAAACUUCAGACCACAGAUGCUUGUCUUGUCCGGUUUACCAGAGAAUCGACCAGCCCUAAUAGAUUUUGUUUCCCAUAUCAGCAAAAAAAUUAGUCUGAUGGUGUGUGCUAAUGUUAUAGUGGGUCAGCAGAGCGGUAACCUGAAGAAGCUCCUUAACACCAACGCUGCAUACAGCUGGCUGAGCAAGCGGAGAGUCAAGGCCUUCUACACUGCCACUACUGCCCCAUCGUUCCGCCACGGUGCCCAGUCUAUAAUGCAUACUGUUGGCGUUGGCAAGCUUCGACCUAAUACAUUAAUCAUGGGUUUCAAAUCUGAUUGGACAAAGUGUGAGCCAAGUGCUGUGGAGGAAUAUUUCAAGAUAAUACAUGAUGCCUUCGACCUGAAUUAUGGAGUGGGUCUGUUGAGGCUGCAGGAAGGCUUUGGUCUGGAUGUGGACAUGGAUGCAACAUUCAUGCCCGAUGGUUUGACAGAAGAUGAUGGCAUUCUCAGUUUCCCCCGUCGACCUCCAGAAAUAAGCGAUGACGACUUAACUCCGGAUGACACACCCCCUCACCGCCUCCACAGCAGCUAUGACAGGAUUGACAACAACACUCCCAUGCCUUCCAAGUCUACCAACCUGGUACCUGGGGACAUACAGAAUGGUCCUAGCAAAUCAAGGGAAAAGCUGAACAUUGAAGUCUUAAAAGGAAUUAAUAUGUUUAAGCGACACCCCAAGAAAGGGACCAUAGAUGUUUGGUGGUUGUUUGAUGAUGGUGGUCUGACGCUACUGAUUCCCUACAUCCUGACAACCAAGGCUCACUGGCGGGGCUGCAAACUGAGGGUCUUCACUGCAGGCACCAAGAAGGGCGACCUGGACAGGGAACAGAGACAGAUGGCCACCCUGUUGUCCAAGUUCCGCAUCGAGUGUAAGGACAUGACUGUGUUACCUGAUGUCAACAAGGCUCCUUGUGAAGAGAGUCAGAUGGAGUUCAAGAAUCUGGUGAGUGACUGGGUACUGGACACCAAGGCAGGAGAGACAGAGGAAAAGUUCCCUUGGAAAACCACACAGGAUGAGAUGGAGUUGCUCAAAGACAAGACAAAUCGCCACAUUCGACUUCGAGAGCUGAUGCAAGAAAAAUCACGAGAUGCAUCCCUGAUAGUCAUGACCCUGCCUAUGCCGAGAAAGGGCACCUGCUCUGCUGGGCUGUACAUGUCAUGGAUAGACACCCUCACAAGGGACAUGCCGCCUAUACUUCUACUUAGAGGCAAUCAAACCAGUGUUCUCACAUUCUACUCAUAGUACACAGCCUUACAGGGCCAUGGUAUUUACCUGACACAGGAACCUUUUUACAGCUGGUGACAAUGUAGGCCAAUGGAGCUACUAUAUGUGACAUUCACCAACCACAUCUCGGUCCAGUGGAACUUAUGCAGGAGUUUGGAUAUACACGACUUACACCAUCUAUGGAACAUGUGAUUAGGACUCUUGAGCCAAGGUUAUUACUGUAGUACUGAUGUUAUAUUUGUAUAUGGGAUAUAUGGAACCAAGCAUUUAUGGUAUUUAACACUAAAUUGUCAUGGCUGCUUGUAUACAUACAAGGAUUAUGCACUUAUUCAAAGUAGACAUUAAUCCAGUAAGUGCAAUAUAAUCUGGUUUGACUGUUUGCACAAGGGAUUCAAGUACAACAAGAGACAAAGUACAAGGAUCUCAAGUACAUCAAGGGCCUAAGUACAAGGAUCCUAUGUACAAGGCUUAAGUACAAGGCUCUCAAGUACAACAAGGGCCUAAGUACAAGGCUCUCAAGUACAAGGAUCUCAAGUACCACAAGGGCCUUAGUACAAGGCUCUCAAGUACAACAAGGGCCUUAGUACAAGGAUCUCAAGUACAACAGGGGCCUAAGUACAAGGAUCUCAAGUACAAGCAAGUUGUCAAAAGAUUUGUUACAAGUGACAAACCAGGAGGACUUGUCGGCCAGAGAUAUACAAUUGUUGAUAAUAUAGGCUGUUUGAUCCAACUAGGAGGGAGAUCUUAACAACGAUCCUAAGUACAAGGCUUAAGUACCAAGAGGGCCCAAGUACAAGGAUCUCAAGUACAACAAGGGCCUAAUUACAAGGCUCUCAAGAAGGGCCUAAAUACAAGGCUCUCAAGUACAACAAGGGCCUAAAUACAAGGCUCUCAAGUACCGCAAGGGCCUUAGUACAAGGCUCUCAAGUACAAGGGCCUUAGUACAAGGCUCUCAAGUACCACAGGGGCCUACGUACAAGGAUCUCAAGUACAUCAAGGGCCUUUGUACAAGGAUCUCAAGUACAAGGGCCUAAGUACAAGGCUUUCAAGAAGGGCCUAAAUACAAGGCUCUCAAGUACCACAAGGGUCUUAGUACAAGGCUCUCAAGUACAACAAGGGCCUAAGUACAAGGCUCUCAAGUACCACAAGGGCCUUAGUACAAGGCUCUCAAGUACAACAAGGGCCUAAGUACAAGGCUCUCAAGUACAACAAGGGCCUAAGUACAAGGAUCUCAAGUACAAGCAAGUUGUCAAAAGAUUUGUUACAAGUGACAAACCAGGAGGACUUGUCGGCCAGAGAUAUACAAUUGUUGAUAAUAUAGGCUGUUUUUUCCAACUAGAAGGGAGAUCCUUGGAAUCCUACAACUUGAUGCUUUCAGAUCUAUUUUGUUUGAAAACCUGUCUAGGAAUCAAGUUACAUUAUGGUUUAUUGUAACAAAAGCAAUUAAACAGCUGGGGGCGAAUCUCAUUUACAGCAAGUAGACUGUAGGUUUGUUUAUUUUUAGAAUACUCCAUUAAAUAUUCUUAUACAUGUACUGUUCAGCAUUUUAGUCAAUGAAUCUCAUGACAUCCUAUUUGGAAGUGUGCUUAUAGUUAUGAUUGACAAGAUAGCAUUUAUAGUGCUUCGGUUGACUUGGACCAACCCAUGUGUUUUUUGGAGGGAAAAGACGUCAUUGCAUAUUGUUGUGUUUAGAAAGAAGCAUAAUAAAAAAAAAAUUGAGAAGAAAAUGAUCUGAUUAUUAUGACAAGUGUAUUGAAAUGACCCAUUUACAAUGUGAAACAAAAAAAGACCAAUGAUCAUUAUCUUAAAUUCGUAUUCAAAUGAGACAAAAUGUUUUAUGGUAAAAUAUGUUGUAUUUAUUAUUCAUAUGAUGCAAACUAGCAUGGACCAAAAGAAACAACAUGUUGAUGCAUAAAAAAACACCUGAAAAACACAAGAUGAUGGUGCAAACUAUGAAAUCCACAUGCCAAAAAUAUAUUUAGAAACAUGUAGAUGUAUAAAACAUAUUGUAGAUGUGACAAUACAAGGGGUGCACAUUAUAAUCCAUAUGUAACUUUAGGGUUACAGUAUCUAUAUAUCAAAGGGAAAAGCAUUUCAAUAUAUUAUUUCCUCAUACUGUCUUCAUGAGUCAAAGGGAGUACAUUAAUGAUUCACUACAAGACAUGUCUGUUCAACCAAAAUCUGUAACAUGAUGUGUCUGUUGAAGUAGACUUAAACCUCAGACUUUUUGAAAAUCAAUAGCUUCCAGGUCUAUUUUAAAUUAGUUGUCAAGAAAACGCGCAAUGUCAAUCCGUAUGCAAGAAAUAAAAUCAUUUAACCAAUUUUGUUUCAACCUUCAACACAGUCAGUAUGUAGAGCCUUCUUUUAUGGACUUUUCAGACAUUGUUGACUUUGGAUUUUCCUUAAUAGGCACCGUUGCAUGAAACAGCCCUUUUAAGUUAAGCCUAAAAAAAAAAUAGUAUUGGUUCUCAGGCACCGCCGCAUCAUUAUAAAGUUCGCGCACGUUUAGUUUUUAUUUCCAGUAUUUGAAAAAACCCACAAGAAUCCUUAAAUAUUCCAAGUCCAAUAGUAGUCAAAUACUGUAUUCCAGUAUUUUACUCAUCAAGGAAAUCAUUUAUGUGGGAGGCCCUCUCCCAGGUUGAUUGUACAAGACUGUUUAUUUGGUUACACCACUGUUUAUUUGGUUACACCACUGUUUAUUUGGUAACACCACUGUUUAUUUGGUUACAUACUAGUUUGAACACCGCACACACGCUCUGUUUUCAAAAGUCAUUGCCUGAGAACCAAUUCUUUUAUUCUUUUAAGGCUAAUGUAUUGGACCAUUCUAUAUGAUACAGGUGUAUUGUUGGGCCACUAAGACUAUCUGCAUACCAAAUGAUGUGAUGAACAUAAUGUUUGUAAUAAGAACAUGAACAAUGCCUGUGGGUAUCAGAUCUGUACAUAGACAUAUAGUACUGCACUGAUUUGAUUACUAUUUUAUUUAUUCAUUCUCAAGGAAGGUGUUGGUGAUGCUAAGUUUGUGUGACUGAGAUGACUUGCUGGAAGUAGGUGGUGUGGCCAUCAACGAGUGCUUGUGUAUGUAGGAUGCUGCCAUGCAUGUCAUGGAGACAUUCACUCAGUGUAUGACUGCAUUUUGAAAACGGUUGUGUUGAUCCAUCAUUUCAACAGAAAUAUGGGUUUGCUUUUGUGUUUUAUCUUAUUUUCUAAACAUUGUACAUAGAAAAAUAUUUAAUUGAAACGUGAAGUUUGUGUAAGAUUAUUUCUCUCUCUGUGUUGUCAGUUUUUGUGCCUUGUUUUAAUUAAUGUUUUACAAAAUAUGUCAGGAGUUGAUCUUUUGGCUCAAAAUUUAGAUUAUCUUUUUCAUUCCAACUGAUUUAAUUGUUUUAAACAAAAUUAAGGGUUAUCAGUUUAAGUUGAUGGAAUGGUCUCCUUUAAUAUGAUUUUGGAAUUUGUAUUAUUGACCAACAUCAUUAUGCCAAGUUAUACUUUGUGCUGAAACCAGUGCUAACAAGCUGUUUGUAUUGAACCAUAUUUCUUCCAUCAUUAGAGAUUUCCAUCGAUAAGAAUUGUUCUUCAUGAUUUUAGAGUCUUUGAAUACCCUUAUAACAAAAUCCAUGUUAGCAGAGGACAAAAGUUCGCAACUCGGAGACUUUUAUGAUUUCUCCAAACUUGAGGAAAUUAUUGAAUAAAUAAAGAAGAUGCAAGUAAUGAUAAUGUAUCUUCCCUGUGUUUAUGUUCAAAACAAGAAUACUUGUUGAUCAUCCUUGUGCUGGAUGUUUGUGGUGAUCGGCAAUCUUGUACUGAGUUAAUUUUAGAAUGAUUUUAAAUUGACUUUUCUGUUUAGGUUGAGUCCCAUAUCAUUAGGUAUCCGAUCAUUCGUUGACAUUAUGGUUGUAUUUAUGGCAUGAUAAAUCAUGAUGGCUCGUGGUGAAAUGUGUUUGGUAAUAUUAAUGAGGGAUUGUUUGGAAAUUGGUAUCGGGACGCAGGUUAUAGAGUUUAUAGUAAAUGGGGUCCAAUGUUAAGUUGUUAUAUUGUUGUUUAAAGAUGUUAUUAUUUUGUGUGGUUUACAUUUACAUAGAGGUCUUGAUUGUAUUGAACUAUCACAACACGAAGACAGGUACGUCUUUUUGUGUUUGAUUUGUGAAUAUUAGUAGACGACUUCGUUUUAUCAUAGGUCAGAAUGAAGUGUGGUGCUAGUUCUUUACACAUUCUCUCCAUUAGAUACAAGAUGCUGCAUAGGAUAAGUAAUCUACCUUAUAAUUAGGAACGUUAUUUUUAUAGCAAUAUCAUAACUUGUCAACCGAGUAUUCACUAACUGUUUUCCCCUUAACCUUCUCUAAAAAUAGAAAGGCAAAUUUGAUCUUGAUACUCCUUACAGGACCUCAUGAUUUCAAUAGUUACUAGACCGAGAAAUGAUAAUCCUUCAAUUGAUGAAUAUAAUAAGCGAUAAAUGUGCAAUAAGGUUACAUUCAGAAAAGCUGCCUUUGGCAUGUCAAGUAAUGUGGAAUAUUGGUAGUGUAAAGCUGGUUCACAAUGUUAUUUCCUUUGUUGUGGUACCAUUGCUAGAUGCAAGUGGUAAAGGGUUUACUUUCUAUCUUAAAAAAUAAUCACAAAUCAUAGUGCUUAGGGUCCAGUUUGUUUCAAGCACCACACAUGUGAUUGGGUUUCACUGUAUGAUGUCUAAUUUCAGAAUGCAAGACUUUCAUUGUGGAAGUAGUGUGUCAUUGUGACGAGGGUUAACCUGCCAUGGUGGAUUGUCUUUCAUUUUAACAUAUGCAACACAUCAUGUAUAAAUGUUAUAUACAUCAUGUUCCAUAGAUAACUAUGUCUACAUCAAUCACGGCCAUGUAUUUAUAUUUCAAAUAUUCCAUACUUGCGAUAAUAUAUUGCUCUUAUUUGAGGUUGCCUGUUUUUGUUCUUGCUACGUGAUAUGUUCCAUAUCAGCUUUUGCUUUAAAGAAUCAGGGUUAUGUAUUCCAGGAUCACCUUCGGCAGUCUCACCAAGGGUGGGUGGUAUGGCCAGGGUCCAAGUACUGUUCCUAUCUAUAAGCACUGCAUGAGGUCCAUUUACAAAAUGUAGUAAACACAACAAGCAUUUGUGCGCAGAAAGGUAUGCAGACCUGCUUGUCGUUUUCAUCAGACCUAUUAACAUCUACAUUAUCAGUGUUCGAAAUACCUGCCUGCCUGACCGUCCGAGACGGGUUGAUUUCAACUCGGGCUGCCAGAUUUUCAAAUCCCCCUGCCCGACAGUCGGGUUGUAUUUCAUAUGUGACGAUAUUCUAAAUAUUUCCCGAUGAUUAUCCCCCGCCGCGCGAAAGCGCGAAGCGGGGGAUAUAGUAUUCACGACCAUCCGUACGUACGUCCGUACGUCCGUACGUCCGUACGUCCGUCGAUAAUCAUUAAUUCACAUGUAAAGAUGAAUGAUAAAAUGUAACCAAAAAGAAAACCCGUUAGCUUAUCCUGAGAAACAUAAGUUAUAGUGGGCAGGCAGGUUUUCGUCAGGGCUGGCAAGUAUUUCAGCUAGCCAGUCCUGUGGUCUGGCUGAAAUUUUUGGGAGUUUCAUACCCUGACAUUAUAAACGUUAAUACUUUUAUUUCCCCACAAACUGGGCUGUGUUAGGAAAUAUUGAAAUUGAAGAAACUUGUUAUAUUUUCUAAUUGAUCUUGCAAAACUAGAGUCAUUCUGACAACCCUUAUGAAAAUAAAUAUAAAGUCUAAUUUCUCUUCUCAUAUUGAUCUUUUUAUAUUGUAUUUCAUCAUGGAAAUUGAUUCAGAGGCAAGAGGAAAAGAUUAUGAGAAGUCAUGGGUUGGUGAAUCUGUAAGCCAGGUAAAAAUGCUGUCAUCUUUAUGAAUUAUUAACACUGAAUUAAUUGCAUUUAUGCAACUUCAUAACUAUCUUAUCCGAUUUCCCCCAAAUCUGUUUGUAAUUAUGGUUUAGGUGAAAGAGGAAUACAUGACCUUGUUUCGGAAAGUGGUCACUUUGUCAAACAUUUUACAUCUUGUUAAUUAUUUACCCGUUUUGUUGUCCACUUGGUUUAUACUUAUACACUGUCUUUUGUGCAAAGGUCUUUUUCUGGUGCUCAGCUGUUGAUCAAAUUAUCCUGUCAGUUUUGGUGUCUUGUGUUUCUAAUGCAGUCCUAACUACCAUAUUCGACCUAUGUAUUCUGCAUACUGUAUGUAAGUUGUAAGGCAAGGGAUACUUGUGACCUCAUCAGCACAUUUAUUAACAUCUAUUUCAGAUUCAUAUCUCAUCAUGACUUAAAGGACAAGGUAUAAUAAAGGCAUGUUUUGGCCCACUAGGAAUGUCAAAUACUGAAGCAAGAACUUUCAUAUAUUGUUAUAAAUAUGAGCGGACAAGUUCAUGUGAGCCUUUUUGUACUCGAAACAUGAGAUGGCACAGAAGUACAUUCGUGGCUUUAGUAGGAUAUAUAUAUCUGAUAUUUUUAAAAUUUCACCAUGUUGUUCUGUCUUAACCUUCAUCACCUAAGACACACAAUAGUUAAGACUUACCGUAUUCGACAUAAUAAGCGCCCAGGGCGCUCUCAAAAUUAGAAAUAGGGGGCUCUUAUUAGAAUGUUAUUUUGAUGAAAAACAACGGAGUUCAAAGAGCGUAAAUUUCGUGGUUUAUGCUGAAAUGUUUAUAAACGACAGAUAUAUUUUUCCAGAAUUUAAUUGCCCAUAAUUAAGGGUGCAUAUAACAAACGUAUUAUGAACGAAUAAAUAGCCUUGUGUACAUUUAUCAAUCAGAAGGGGUGCUAAUUGGGAUAUUUCACUAGCCAGUAUAUUAGCAAAUAUCGCCGUGGGCGCUUAUUAGAGCGGGGCGCUUAUUACGGUAUUCAUUUUUAAAUACCCCGGUAUUUGUAACAGGUUUCUGGAAACAUCAACCUUUUUGACACAUUUUAUCUUCAUGUUAUAGAGUUUGGGUUAUAAAAAUCCACAACAGAAGUUUUGAAAUAAACAAAGUCUAAUUUUUACUUGAAUUGAAGUGUCUUAUAACUUUCAUAACUGUUACUAUAACAAAUGCUCGGUUUAUUCAGAUCUGCAGGCCAAAUAUGGUUCUUAUCAUACCUUCCUCUGCCUUUGCAAUUGGGGUUCUCUUCAGGAUGGCAAGAUUCUAAAUUGGUCAAAUAUGGUACAUUAUUUGCAUUUAGACAGGUAGAAACUGUUCAAGAGCAUUUGAUAAGACAUUGUUUACCCCCUAUGAAACAAGAAAAACAUGUCAUACUUAGUUUGGUGAAUCAGAAUUUGUAACCUCGAGCUGAAGCGCUCGGUUCCAAAUUAAAAUAUGAAGUAUGUACUCUACAGUGGGACUACAUCAAAUUUCAAAACACACUAGGUUUAUCUCCUAAUUGUGCCACAUUUAUUCCUGCAAUUCAUGUCAUAUAUUGGUAGUGCUGUUUGCUUUAGCAACUUGCUUAUCUCCACUGUCUCAAUUAGUAGCCACAGCUGCAAAGUUCACAUAUUUUCUCAUGUCUCAACUCCCAUUCCUAACAGUGUCAGAAGCAUUUCUGUUCUGCUUCUCAUAUCAUGCAUGCCCAGCCGAGCAGAAACACUUUAUACAUAUGGUGAUAUAUUACAUGAUGUUUUUUGUUUAAUGUUUAUUUUUCUUUAUUAAAGCGAGACUAUACCCAAUGUUUGGGCCCCUUUUAAAAGGAAGGCUUAGACCUUGUAAUAUGUUUCAUUUGUGAAAUUGGGACAUUGUCAUUUUGUUUUAAAAAAAAUCUGUGGAUGACUAAUUAUUGCCUGAUAGUCAAGGGCAUGGUUAACUCAUAUCUGGCGAUAGGUUAAUUUACCCAGACCGCUUCUCCUUUAAGCUGCAUGACACUCAUUUUUAUCACUGUCAUAUUCCAGCAAGUUAAUUAAUAAUCAAGAAUAUUGUCCUCAAAUUCUUAUAAAGAUCCUUUGUGAUAUAAGGAUGAGAAUUGGUUUCUUAAGACUUUACUGUGUUUGUGGUGAGGGGGAAUUUGCUGCUUGCGGUUCCUGAGAACCAGACAAUGUCUGCCAUAGAAAAGAACUCUAGUCCAGUGAGGUUUGGACCUUACCUAUGCAAUACUUCUACAGAGUCUCUUACCAACAAUGCAGCGUUAUGAAUAGUGUUUGUGCUACCAGGAUUGAUCACCUUAGAGUUAUUGUCUUGAGAUACGGAACUAGGUUCUGAGAGUCUGUAUUAUUUAGAUAACUGAAGUCAGAUGGGCAUGAUAUUGUCUUCUAGAUGUAUUCUUGAUGAAUGGCACAUCCUAAUGGAUGACACCUGCUCUUCAUGCAACAGCCAAACCUACCUUCGUAUUGUUAACUGUAUUAUUCAAUUAGUUUGUUUAGAUAUAACUCAAAUUCCCUUAAUAGCCAUUAGAUUAGUGGCAUGACCUUGUGAGUUAGUUAAUAUUUAAUCACUUCAGCAAUCUCUUCAGCUACAUUGUGAUAAAGUCAUGGGCUUGUAGCAAGCUUUUUUGUUCUUUGAAGAUCUUUUGAUUUCAUCACUUCUCUUUAAGGUACAUUUAAUUUACAAUAUUAGUGAAUAGUUAAAAAGAAAAGAAAAUUGUAUUAGAAACUUUGCAUCACUUUGAAGGAAAUGUUGCCAUUUUUCAGCAUACAAAAUGUUUCAAGAUCUCACUUUACUCCUGCUUUGAAAGACUUUCAUAAUGGUGACAGACAUUUAUCAUAGUCAAUAUCGAUCAUGCAAUUAUGCUUUGCACAUGUAAAUUAGUCCUGUACAUAAUGUAAUUAGCAAUAUGUCCUCACAGAUAGACUAUUUUGUGAUACUGGAUGACACUGCAGCAGUCUGUUCUGUAACAUACAUUCAACAUGUACAUUAUGAGAUUGGUCACUCUUCUACUCCUGUUGUCAUAUGCUGUUGAACUACCGAUUGUUUUUGUUAUGACACUUUUUGUGUAUCAGCCAGUUAGGCACACCCUAGCUUGCCUUGCCAUCUCCAUGAAUACCAGUGAUCUGAUGCCGGAGGUUCGUGGUCAGAUUCUCAGUUACAGUUAUCUGUUACAAGUUCAGUCAUCCGUACCAUGCUAUGAGUGGUUUCUUCAUAGACUCUGAAUGAUUAAUUUUCAUCCGUUUCAUUAAUUUGUUAGAAUUAUUCACUGCUACUUUGAAAAUGCAAUUUUGAUCAUAGCUUGUAAUUUUGAAUAAUCUAGGACUUUGAGUUUGGAAAAACUCAAAUAAUAAUGAUGUACCUGUAACAAGGUAUAUAAUAUAAUAUAUCAUAUAUUUCAGAGCAGCCUUUCAUUCCUUAAGGAAUGGACAGUUUGUUUUGGAAGGGAACAUAUAAAGAAUUGUCAUUUCAUGUGCUUGUUGCACAAGGACAGUAUGUUGAGUUUCAGCAUAGAUAAGAUUUAAUAUUUCUCUGAUAUUGUCUGUGUGAAACCAUUCAAAUUUUGGUUAUUUGAAAGUGCAAUUUUUUCAGAGUGUAAAAUUGCUUCCAGCAUAAAUAGGUUUCCUUCAUAAUUGGCCUGAUCUUCCGUAACAGUUCACCAACAGAGAUAAUGUCACAUCACGUUCAUGAGGGUUCUGGUAUUUUCAUUUGAGUUCUAUCUUUACCUUCAGGAAAUGACAGAAAUUUCUAAUUUAUUUAUUAAUUUAUUAGAAAGUGAAUUGAAAAUUAUAGACAUGGAAGAUUAUUUAUUUGGGAAACUUCUCCAGCGUCUCAGCCCAUGCCCCCUCUGAAGGUGAAAUGACCCGUGCCUGGGCGCCAUUGUACAAAACAACCUCAGCGCUACGACUGUCGUAAGUCUAUGUUAAGGUAUGGGAGUUAUGACCACCUUAGCGCAAAGAUUGCUCUGUACAACUGCACCCAGAUGUGUUGUGCAACAAGGUGAGGGAAUGUCCAGUUGUAUGUCAACUAUCCAGGUGAUGGUUAUGUACAUGUUAUCUGUGUUUACUGCUUUGACACAACGGUGUUGACAUCUUAGUGCAAUCUGUUACCGCUUACCAAGUUAUGCCCCCAGCAGUGGGUUGUUGACAAUAUACUGCAACUGGUUCUCAAACAGGGUGAAUGUACGACUCACAACUACAAAUCUGCAAUAAAGUUUAAACAAGUACCUGGUGUUCUGUCAAUCUCUUGCCUGUGUGAAAUAAUAUCAAUUUAAGCACUAAAUAUCUGAAAGCAACAGGUUUAUUCCUGUAAGGUGUACAUUAUGCAUUCAAUAUUCGCGUAUGUACAGGUACUGUAAAAAACUACAUACAGCAUUAUUUACUUUUCACAACUCAAAUGACUAAUAUAAAGCAAGGCAUAGCAAAGAGUAGUCAUACCAACAAUGGCAACUUAACAGAAUUAACUUAUGUAUUACUGUAAUCAUUGAGUCCCUGCUUACAUAGGCCAAUAGUGUGCGGGGACCUAAUCUAACCCCAAAAGAUGGUCUUGUGGAUAGCGUCUGCCUGGAGAGCAGAAGGUCUGUGGUUCGAUUGCCGGCUGUUUCAUA
RNAcentral lists this unclassified non-coding RNA (13917 nucleotides) under Haliotis rufescens (red abalone). RNAcentral describes it as "solute carrier family 12 member 3-like, transcript variant X4". Lineage: Eukaryota; Metazoa; Mollusca; Gastropoda; Lepetellida; Haliotidae. The record is from RNAcentral.